CAAACGAGAUAUGGAGGGCUGAGACGGGCCGCGGACCUCAGGUUCCAGCCCCCAACAGCCAGUCACUCUGGGCUCUUGCUCUGACUGCAGGGAUGAGGGUUUUUAUUAGCCAGCAUGAGGUUCUGACUGUUUCGGCAAUGCCCGGGAUGACUCGGAGCAGACAAGCUAGGGGGUUCAUGGCUUUGUUAAGGGCGGGAAAAGUUGAGACAUUUUGGUUAAUACAGUUUUAUGCAAGCAGCAUUGGAACCACAAGAACGCCUUCUAACCUUCAGGCCACCACCACCCGAUGCUUUACUGCCUGCAGGAUGGUGUGGUUGCCGCAUAUACAGUAAGCCAAGCUACAUCUUCUUAUUAUCUCAUGUUAUCUGCAGGUCUUC
This is a long non-coding RNA of Perca flavescens (yellow perch), 377 nucleotides long. RefSeq lists it as uncharacterized. Lineage: Eukaryota; Metazoa; Chordata; Actinopteri; Perciformes; Percidae. The transcript is spliced from 3 exons. The record is from RefSeq and is a predicted model, not a curated record.